GAGGAAAGUUAUUUGCAGAGGAGAACAAGAUCAGGACUCUUCCUAACAAAGGCUGAGUAAGAAACUGGGUUUCUGACCUCUCUACCCCAGCAAGCUCAGAGUCCCCUGCCUUUCCUCUGUUCUGGCUCUGUGUGUUUGCAUUACUCACUCUGUGGUUAGAAGUUCAGGUAAGUAAUUCUGGAAAAGGAGCUUUUGGAAAAAGUUGCCUGGAAAACAGGACGCUGCUUGGAGUGUCAUUUCUCCUUAUCAAUUGAAUAUGGACUUAGACAACUCAGCUCAGGUGAGGGGACACUCAUUCUGGGUAAGGUGGAAGAGGGAGGGCAGGAGAGGGGGCCUGGCCAGGUUUUUGUAGACAUUUUGAUGUCAGCUUAUAGGCUGAUAGCAGCAGCACACUCGUCACCACACAAUCAAGGUUCAACGGAUUGCCUAGGACACAAAUUGACGGAAUCUGGCCCAGACUGGCAUGCAUUGGCGUGAUCUUGGCUCACUGCAACCUCCGCCUCCCGGGUUCAGGUGAUUCUGCCUCAGCCUCCUGAGUAGCUGGGAUUAAAGCUGUGCACCACCAUGAACAGCUAAUUAACACGCCGAUUUUUAGGCUGAGCAAUGAUAGAGCUUUUCACUUCUCCUCUUUUUCAGAGGCCCACAGACAGAAGGGAUUAGCCUUAUCUCAGAUGAGAUUUUGGACUUGGACUUUUGAAUUAAUCCUUCAAUGAGUGAGUUAAAGCUUUGAGGGACUGUUAGGAUUGUAUUUUGCAAUGUGAGAAGGACAUGAGAUUUGGGAGAGGCCAGGGCAUUAUUAUAAGGUUUGGCUCUGUGUGUGUCCUCACCCAAAUCUCAGGUUGAAUUGUAAUCCCCAGUGUUGGAGGUGGGGCCUGGUGGGAGGUGGUUGGACCAUGGGGGUGGAAUUCUGGUGGAAUUAAAUACUGGAAAAAAA
This 934-nucleotide long non-coding RNA is filed under the name Homo sapiens (human). RNAcentral describes it as "HSALNT0287112". Lineage: Eukaryota; Metazoa; Chordata; Mammalia; Primates; Hominidae. The record is from RNAcentral.